RNAcentral lists this long non-coding RNA (250 nucleotides) under Capsicum annuum. RNAcentral's name for it is "long non-coding RNA (CANN_LNC019802)". The record is from RNAcentral. Lineage: Eukaryota; Viridiplantae; Streptophyta; Magnoliopsida; Solanales; Solanaceae.
GUUGAUUCCAUUACUAACUUACAAGCUAGUUUUAGAUUGUAAGUUAGUUUUGAAACCGUCCUUCGUGUAUACAUUCCUUUGUGUGUCUUAUCCUUUUGAGUCGUUGUAAUACUUGGUCCACCUCUUACUGCCUCACGGAGUACAAGCAAGGUUACGACACUUGUGAGAUCAAAGUGAGAAAAAAAUCCGAGAGCCAAAACAAUAGAGAGGGUGUGUGAGGACCAUUCUUGUACAACUAACUUGUUUAUUG